Molecule: long non-coding RNA, 164 nt
Organism: Balaenoptera acutorostrata (minke whale)
Lineage: Eukaryota; Metazoa; Chordata; Mammalia; Artiodactyla; Balaenopteridae
Exons: 3
Source: RefSeq, a predicted model, not a curated record
AGGCUCAAAGAUUUGGAAAGAGAGAGUUUAACAGAAAAGGAAUGCGUGAAGGAGAAAUGGAAUCUCUUGCCUGAAUUUCUGCAGACAGAAAUAAAGAAUCAGUUAUGUGACUUGGAAACCAAAUGACAUAAAGAAGAAUUAUCAGAGAUUUGUCCUUGGAGAAC